Molecule: transfer RNA, 73 nt
Filed under: Ixodes scapularis (black-legged tick)
Lineage: Eukaryota; Metazoa; Arthropoda; Arachnida; Ixodida; Ixodidae
Description: tRNA-Ser
Source: RNAcentral
UCCUGGUUAGCUCAGUUGGUAGACACCUCCACUAGAAAUGGAGAGGUCCCUGAUUCGAUACCAGAACCAGGAG